AGACAGAGGGUGCAAACGUUGCUCGGAAUCACUGGGCGUAAAGCGGGUGUAGGCGGGUCGACAAGUCUGGUGUGAAAGCCCUGGGCUCAACCCAGGAAUUGCAUCGGAAACUGUCGGUCUUGAGUGCCGGAGAGGGAGGCGGAAUUCCCGGUGUAGAGGUGAAAUUCGUAGAUAUCGGGAGGAACACCAGAGGCGAAGGCGGCUUCCUGGACGGCUACUGACGCUGAGACCCGAAAGCGGGGGGAGCAAACAGGAGUAGAAACCCUAGUAGUCC
Molecule: ribosomal RNA, 274 nt
Filed under: uncultured bacterium
Lineage: Bacteria
Description: partial 16S ribosomal RNA
Rfam family: Bacterial small subunit ribosomal RNA
Source: RNAcentral